AAUUGGAGGGCAAGUCUGGUGCCAGCAGCCGCGGUAAUUCCAGCUCCAAUAGCGUAUAUUAAAGUUGUUGCAGUUAAAAAGCUCGUAGUUGAAUUUCGGGAUCGACGGGUCGGUCGCGCCUCUGGUGUGUACUGGCCCUGUCGGUUUCUCCCUUCUGACGAACCACGAUGUCAUUAAUUUGGUGUCGUGGGAAAUCAGGACUGUUACUUUGAAAAAAUUAGAGUGUUUAAAGCAGGCAUUCGCUUGAAUACAUUAGCAUGGAAUAAUGAAAUAGGACGUUUGAUCUUAUUUUGUUGGUUUCUAAGAUCGACGUAAUGAUUAAUAGGGAUAGUUGGGGGCAUUAGUAUUCAAUUGUCAGAGGUGAAAUUCUUGGAUUUAUUGAAGACUAACUACUGCGAAAGCAUUUGCCAAGGAUGUUUUCAUUAAUCAAGAACGAAAGUUAGGGGAUCGAAGACGAUCAGAUACCGUCGUAGUCUUAACCAUAAACUAUGCCGACUAGGGAUCGGAUGAUGUUAAUUUUUUAAUGACUCAUUCGGCGCCUUACGGGAAACCAAAGUGU
This 559-nucleotide ribosomal RNA is filed under the name uncultured Glomus. RNAcentral's name for it is "SSU rRNA". It matches the Rfam family "Eukaryotic small subunit ribosomal RNA", at positions 546 to 1106 of the family's 1831-position model. Lineage: Eukaryota; Fungi; Glomeromycota; Glomeromycetes; Glomerales; Glomeraceae. The record is from RNAcentral.